GUGGUUUAAUUNGAAGCAGCGCGAAGANCCUUACCAAAUCUUGACNUCNUCUGACCCCUCUAGAGAUAGAGUUUUCCCNUUCGGGGGACAGAGUGACAGGUGGUGCAUGGUUGUCGUCAGCUCGUGUCGUGAGAUGUCGGGUUAAGUCCCGCAACGAGCGCAACCCUUAAGCUUAGUUGCCAUCAUUAAGUUGGGCACUCUAAGUUGACUGCCGGUGACAAACCGGAGGAAGGUGGGGAUGACGUCAAAUCAUCAUGCCCCUUAUGGUUUGGGCUACACACGUGCUACAAUGGACAAUACAAAGGGCAGCGAAACCGCGAGGUCAAGCAAAUCCCAUAAAGUUGUUCUCAGUUCGGAUUGUAGUCUGCAACUCGACUAUAUGAAGCUGGAAUCGCUAGUAAUCGUAGAUCAGCAUGCUACGGUGAAUACGUUCCCGGGUCUUGUACACNCCGCCCGUCACACCACGAGAGUUUGUAACACCCGAAGCCGGUGGAGUAACCA
Molecule: ribosomal RNA, 501 nt
Filed under: uncultured Staphylococcus sp.
Lineage: Bacteria; Bacillati; Bacillota; Bacilli; Caryophanales; Staphylococcaceae
Description: bacterial SSU rRNA
Rfam family: Bacterial small subunit ribosomal RNA
Source: RNAcentral